RNAcentral lists this ribosomal RNA (526 nucleotides) under bacterium b2cb5. RNAcentral describes it as "bacterial SSU rRNA". It matches the Rfam family "Bacterial small subunit ribosomal RNA", at positions 874 to 1400 of the family's 1533-position model. The record is from RNAcentral.
UGGGGAGUACGGCCGCAAGGUUAAAACUCAAAUGAAUUGACGGGGGCCCGCACAAGCGGUGGAGCAUGUGGUUUAAUUCGAUGCAACGCGAAGAACCUUACCAUCCCUUGACAUCCAGAGAAUUUUCUAGAGAUAGAUUAGUGCCUUCGGGAGCUCUGAGACAGGUGCUGCAUGGCUGUCGUCAGCUCGUGUUGUGAAAUGUUGGGUUAAGUCCCGCAACGAGCGCAACCCUUAUCCUUAGUUGCCAGCGAUUCGGUCGGGAACUCUAAGGAGACUGCCGGUGAUAAACCGGAGGAAGGUGGGGACGACGUCAAGUCAUCAUGGCCCUUACGGGAUGGGCUACACACGUGCUACAAUGGCAGGUACAAAGGGCAGCGAGACCGCGAGGUGGAGCGAAUCCCAUAAAGCCUGUCGUAGUCCGGAUUGGAGUCUGCAACUCGACUCCAUGAAGUCGGAAUCGCUAGUAAUCGUGGAUCAGAAUGCCACGGUGAAUACGUUCCCGGGCCUUGUACACACCGCCCGUCAC